AUUGAACGCUGGCGGCAGGCCUAACACAUGCAAGUCGAGCGGAUGAAGGGAGCUUGCUCCUGGAUUCAGCGGCGGACGGGUGAGUAAUGCCUAGGAAUCUGCCUGGUAGUGGGGGAUAACGUCCGGAAACGGGCGCUAAUACCGCAUACGUCCUGAGGGAGAAAGUGGGGGAUCUUCGGACCUCACGCUAUCAGAUGAGCCUAGGUCGGAUUAGCUAGUUGGUGGGGUAAAGGCCUACCAAGGCGACGAUCCGUAACUGGUCUGAGAGGAUGAUCAGUCACACUGGAACUGAGACACGGUCCAGACUCCUACGGGAGGCAGCAGUGGGGAAUAUUGGACAAUGGGCGAAUGCCUGAUCCAGCCAUGCCGCGUGUGUGAAGAAGGUCUUCGGAUUGUAAAGCACUUUAAGUUGGGAGGAAGGGCAGUAAGUUAAUACCUUGCUGUUUUGACGUUACCAACAGAAUAAGCACCGGCUAACUUCGUG
This 484-nucleotide ribosomal RNA is filed under the name uncultured bacterium. Its description in RNAcentral is "partial 16S ribosomal RNA". It matches the Rfam family "Bacterial small subunit ribosomal RNA", at positions 30 to 507 of the family's 1533-position model. The record is from RNAcentral.